GUGCAGCUUACAUGCAAUGUUUAUUGUUGUACAUUUUGGCAAAUAUAGUAAUGUAUUAUUACUUAUAAAAUGCAUACUGUGCACAGUAGUAUGUUGGUGUAUGAUUCUGUUCUUCACUGCAUUUCAGUACUAUUUUAAAUUAUUCUGGGUUUUUUUUUUCACGCUCUAUUGGACUUUUCUUUGCAGUCGGCUCCUUCUUCGUCUGCCUCCUCAUACUCGUGCAUGCUGCCUCCAUCCCCGUCUGCCCCUCGUUCGUUUGAGACAUCAUACUCCUCUCCCCAUCUACCACCUCCUCCUUCAGCUAACACCAGCACAGGUUUGAUUUCUCCAGGCGUUUCUGUACCUGUCCAGGUACCAGGAAAUGAUCAAAAUAUGGGGCAGUAUUGGGCCAGACUGUAGUGAAAAGAAAAGGCGAGGUAGAAUUUGCAUUAGAAUACUAAAUAUGUAUGUUUACAAAAGGUCAGAAACAAAGAAAUUGUUCUAAACUCUGAGAAAAAUAAUCCUCUGUUAGUUAAACCUAUGAACAAAAUUCCUUAAUUUGAUUUAUUUUAGCCAUAGUAUUAGAUCUGAUGACAGUGUGCUAUAUUUUCUUCCAUUCAAUUUCGGACAAACAGGAAUGUAUAUGAUGAAGCAUUGUGCAAUGACAUUCGUGACGGUAUUUUUUUAGCAAAUGUCUCUUCAGAAUCAUUGUAAUAAGUUCCUGGUGUCAACUUCACAGAAUUGGGAAUCAUAGUAUGAUGUUUUAAUAACAUACCUGUGGUUUUAGCUUCUUUCAUGAUAAUUCCUAAUUUCUCCACUGUAAUUUUCUCUAAAGUCAUUUGUUUAUUUUCAUAAUCAGAUAUGUGAUAUCACUUUAUGAAAUGUUUUUGACCUUACCCUUUCACAAACCUCAGUAAGCUUGUGACAAUCAAGGCAUAAGGCCAAGUUCAAUCAGAGCAGGGACUGAAAGCCAGUCAUAUUUGCACUUAAUCAAUGACCAGUAAACAGCUGUUUGACUUAAACAAUCACAUCAAUGAAUACUUUAUGCAAAAAUCUCCAGCAUAUCUUAUCUGGCAAGCCAAAGUAUUUAUAUUGAACAUAGUGUCAUACAGUAUAUAUAUUUAUGACUCUGAAAAAAUGUUUGAAUAUUAGGAAACUGUCUCUGUGCUUAAACUACAGUUUAUGGAUUUUUUUUGUUUUAUGAAUUUAAAGACAUUCUGUGUGUGUGUGUGUGUGUGUGUGUGUGUGUGUGUGUGAAGGAGAGCGAGAGAGAAAUAAGGAUUUACAAUGAGGUAUGAAAGCAUUAGUGAAAUUGCUUCUUUUCAUUCUUUGAAAAUUAACAACACUUUUUUUUUUAUUUAAAUUUUAUUAGCACAGAAAAGUUGAACUGAAAAAUCAACAUUAAUUUCAGACUGUUCAGAAUCUUGCUUUUUAUUUAAUGACAGCCACGCUUAAAGGAAUGGUUCACCAAAAAUGAAAAUCUGCUAAAAAUUUGCUCAUCCUCAGGUCAUCCAAGAUGUAGAUGAGUUUUUCUUCACUGGAGCAGGUUUGGAGAAAUGUAGCAUUGCAUCACUUGCUCACCGGUGAAUCCUCUGCAGUGAAUGGGUGCCGUCAGAAUGAGAGUCCAAACAGCUGAUAAAAACAUCACAAUAUUCUGCAAGUAAUCCACACCACUCCAGUCCAUCAGUUAAUGAAUUGUGAAUUGAAAAGCUGUGUUUUUGUGAGAAACAAAUCCACCAUUAAUGUGUUUUAGCUUUAAACUGUUUCUCCUGGACAGAAUUCGAGUCCAUAAUUGAUAGACAUUAAUUGAUGUAUUUGAGUUGUGUGGAUUACUGUUAUGUUUUUAUGCUAAAUUUCUCUUAUUUCUCUAUUCCUUUAAACUGGUAUUUUAAAAUAUUUUGAUGUCAAUUUCUGACCCUACUGUACUGUAUGUGGAUGCUGUGUUCACUCAAGAUAGUCAACCUACUUCAUGUAUGCAUUAAACCCUUUAAUAAAAUAUAUAUUGUAUCUUACA
Long non-coding RNA from Cyprinus carpio (common carp), 1993 nucleotides. The record is from Ensembl. Lineage: Eukaryota; Metazoa; Chordata; Actinopteri; Cypriniformes; Cyprinidae.